RNAcentral lists this transfer RNA (74 nucleotides) under Canis lupus dingo (dingo). It matches the Rfam family "tRNA". From Rfam's summary of the family: Transfer RNA (tRNA) molecules are approximately 80 nucleotides in length. Their secondary structure includes four short double-helical elements and three loops (D, anti-codon, and T loops). The record is from Rfam by way of RNAcentral. Lineage: Eukaryota; Metazoa; Chordata; Mammalia; Carnivora; Canidae.
ACCUGGCUGGCUCAGUUGGAAGAGCAAUGCAACUCUUGAUAUUGCAGUCAUGAGUUCAAGUCUCAUGCUGGGUG